GAAAAAUCUUAGAUAAGGAAGAGUAAAAAAUAAUUAUUUUUUAGAGAUAAGUUGGUUGGUGAAAAACUUAAUUAGUUAUUUUUAAAGGUAGCCUUUGAGAUGCUUAGGUGAGAAAGUUUCAUUAGCUUAAGCCGUUUACUUUGCGUUAAAAGAAUGAGAGAAUAAAAGUAUUUUUAUUAACAAAGGUGGUACCGCGGAAUAACGUUUCGUCCUUUAU
RNAcentral lists this non-coding RNA (217 nucleotides) under Staphylococcus sp. RNAcentral describes it as "T-box sequence". It matches the Rfam family "T-box leader". From Rfam's summary of the family: Uncharged tRNA acts as the effector for transcription antitermination of genes in the T-box leader family. T-boxes are found upstream of many aminoacyl-tRNA synthetase genes and some amino acid biosynthetic genes usually in Gram-positive bacteria. The anticodon of a specific tRNA base pairs to a specifier sequence within the T-box motif, and the NCCA acceptor tail of the tRNA base pairs to a conserved bulge in the T-box antiterminator hairpin. The record is from RNAcentral. Lineage: Bacteria; Bacillati; Bacillota; Bacilli; Caryophanales; Staphylococcaceae.